GACGAACGCUGGCGGCGUGCCUAAUACAUGCAAGUCGAGCGAAGAUUUUCUGGUGCUUGCCCCGGAAAGACUUAGCGGCGCACGGGUGUGUAACACGUAAAGAACCUGCCUCAUAGACUGGGACCACUAUUGGAAACGAUAGCUAAUACCGGAUAAUAGCAUUACCUGCAUGGUUGAUGUUUAAAAGUUGGUUUUGCUAACACUAUGAGAUGGCUUUGCGGUGCAUUAGCUAGUUGGUGGGGUAAAGGCCUACCAAGGCGACGAUGCAUAGCCGACCUGAGAGGGUGAUCGGCCACACUGGGACUGAGACACGGCCCAGACUCCUACGGGAGGCAGCAGUAGGGAAUCUUCCGCAAUGGGCGAAAGCCUGACGGAGCAACGCCGCGUGAGUGAAGAAGGUUUUCGGUUCGUAAAGCUCUGUUGUUAGGGAAGAAUGAUUGUGUAGGAACUAUACACAGUAGAGACGGUACCUAACCAGAAAGCCACGGCUAACUACGUG
Molecule: ribosomal RNA, 499 nt
Filed under: uncultured bacterium
Lineage: Bacteria
Description: partial 16S ribosomal RNA
Rfam family: Bacterial small subunit ribosomal RNA
Source: RNAcentral